RNAcentral lists this ribosomal RNA (252 nucleotides) under uncultured bacterium. RNAcentral's name for it is "partial 16S ribosomal RNA". It matches the Rfam family "Bacterial small subunit ribosomal RNA", at positions 524 to 761 of the family's 1533-position model. The record is from RNAcentral.
UACGUAGGGGGCAAGCGUUGUCCGGAAUCAUUGGGCGUAAAGAGCGUGUAAGGCGGCUUGGCAAGUCUGGUGUGAAAUCUUGACGGCUCAACCGCCAAGCGGUCACUGGAAACUGCCUCGUCAUAGAGUCCGGAAAGCAGGAGAGGUGGAAUUCCUUGGUGUAGGCGGUGAAAAUGCGCAGAUAUCAGGAAGAACACCAAUGGCGAAGGCAGCUCUCUGGGACGGUAAGCUGAACGCUGAGACGCGGAAAAG